CCUACGGGAGGCAGCAGUAAGGAAUCUUGCGCAAUGGGCGAAAGCCUGACGCAGCGACGCCGCGUGGGCGAUGAAGGCCUUCGGGUUGUAAAGCCCUUUUCUGGGGGACGAGGAAGGACGGUACCCCAGGAAUAAGUCACGGCUAACUACGUGCCAGCAGCCGCGGUAAAACGUAGGUGGCAAGCGUUAUCCGGAAUCACUGGGCGUAAAGGGCGUCUAGGCGGACGGGUAAGUCGUGCGUGAAAGCUUCCGGCUCAACCGGGAGAGGUCGUACGAUACUGCCUGUCUGGAGGGUCGGAGAGGGACGUGGAAUUCCCGGUGUAGGGGUGAAAUGCGUAGAGAUCGGGAGGAACACCAGUGGCGAGGGCGGCCCUCUGGCGCUUGACUGACGCUGAGGCGCGAAAGCGUGGGGAGCAAACAGGAUUAGAUCCCCCGGUAGU
Molecule: ribosomal RNA, 440 nt
Filed under: uncultured Anaerolineae bacterium
Lineage: Bacteria; Bacillati; Chloroflexota; Anaerolineae
Description: partial 16S ribosomal RNA
Rfam family: Bacterial small subunit ribosomal RNA
Source: RNAcentral